GUCCAGCUGACGAGUCCCAAAUAGGACGAAACUUGCCUCCUGGAU
Schistosoma rodhaini is the source of this 45-nucleotide non-coding RNA. The record is from Rfam. NCBI's taxonomy places the organism in Eukaryota, Metazoa, Platyhelminthes, Trematoda, Strigeidida, Schistosomatidae.